This 300-nucleotide unclassified non-coding RNA is filed under the name uncultured Alternaria. RNAcentral's name for it is "sequence contains 5.8S rRNA gene, ITS2". The stretch from base 1 to 82 matches the Rfam family "5.8S ribosomal RNA", at positions 65 to 154 of the family's 154-position model. Lineage: Eukaryota; Fungi; Ascomycota; Dothideomycetes; Pleosporales; Pleosporaceae. The record is from RNAcentral.
AUGAGAGACAUGUGAGUCAUCGAAUCUUUGAACGCACAUUGCGCCCUUUGGUAUUCCAAAGGGCAUGCCUGUUCGAGCGUCAUUUGUACCCUCAAGCUUUGCUUGGUGUUGGGCGUCUUGUCUCCAGUCCGCUGGAGACUCGCCUUAAAGUCAUUGGCAGCCGGCCUACUGGUUUCGGAGCGCAGCACAAGUCGCACUCUUUUCCAGCCAAGGUCAGCGUCCAACAAGCCUUUUUUCAACUUUUGACCUCGGAUCAGGUAGGGAUACCCGCUGAACUUAAGCAUAUCAAUAAGCGGAGGA